RNAcentral lists this ribosomal RNA (253 nucleotides) under uncultured bacterium. RNAcentral's name for it is "partial 16S ribosomal RNA". It matches the Rfam family "Bacterial small subunit ribosomal RNA", at positions 524 to 776 of the family's 1533-position model. The record is from RNAcentral.
UACGUAGGGGGCUAGCGUUGUUCGGAAUCACUGGGCGUAAAGCGCACGUAGGCGGAUUGUUAAGUCGGGGGUGAAAUCCUGAGGCUCAACCUCAGAACUGCCUUCGAUACUGGCAAUCUCGAGUCCGGAAGAGGUUGGUGGAACAGCUAGUGUAGAGGUGAAAUUCGUAGAUAUUCGCAAGAACACCAGUGGCGAAGGCGGCUCACUGGCCCGAUACUGACGCUGAGGCACGAAAGCGUGGGGAGCAAACAGG